Siniperca chuatsi (mandarin fish) is the source of this 2829-nucleotide long non-coding RNA. RefSeq lists it as uncharacterized. The record is from RefSeq and is a predicted model, not a curated record. Lineage: Eukaryota; Metazoa; Chordata; Actinopteri; Centrarchiformes; Sinipercidae. The transcript has 3 exons.
AGAGCCCAGCCUCUCUGCGCUGCGGAGCAGCAGCCAGUCCGACACUGAAGGACACAGAGAGAGGAGAGACUUCACAGCAGCCUUCAGCCCGGAGGAGGACAAGAAAACAGGAAUAAAAAGAAGACAAGCAUUUCUUCCUUUAUCUUUCUCUCUCUCCCGUCUGCGUUAUCGACCAGCUGGAUAAAGAGGACAAACAGCAGCAGCAGGAGGUGGAGGAGGUGGAGGUCUGUGCUCAGUUCUCCUCUCGCACCGUCAGCCCGAGGAGCCUCUCAGCCGACGGUGUCAUUGCGCCAGCAGAGUGGAUGUGUGUACUGCUGCGUGCGUGUGUGUGUGUGUGUGUGUGUGUUUAACCCUCCACGGCUGGAGAUUUGUCUCUCAGGUGGAUUUGGAGUAAACCUGGGAUUUUGAUCGCGAGGAGUUGCUUGCUGGUGUUUUGUCUGUUGCACCUCCUUUUUUCAUCCCCUCUCUCCUUCCUCCUCCGGUGCGGACGCCUCUCUCGCUCCCGCACUCACCGCUCUCUCUCUCCCCUUCUCCUCCCUCGCUCUCCUCCAGCCUCCAGCCGGCUUUGCCGUAACUGUGCCGGCACUACGGCUGCCGUUCGCCCACGGAGAGGAGAAGCAGAUGGAUCUUGUCAGAUUCUCCUCAACGUGGCGCCAACAUACAUCAUUUCCCAGAAUGCCACAGGUGUGAGCCCUCCAGGUGACCCGACUGACUGCUCCACACACCCAUCAGACGCCUGCCAACCCUCGGCCAAUCAACACAUCGUCCUCAGAGGUGCAUCCGUCCAGAGUUUCAGCGGCCCCUGGGUGUUUUGAAUGGACUUGGUGUUUGAGCAACAGAGGAGCGCGGGGAGGAGUUUCCUUCUCCUGGAUCCUGUUUGGGUGCUGUGAUUAAAAAAACCAAUAACUGGAACAAACCUCAAGCCUUGACACAAUGGAUGUAAUGUAGUUUGAGAAGACUGGACAAAAAAAGACGACUUUUUACAAUUCUUUCACAAGAUUUUGCGAGAUGUCGGCUCACAGGAGGUGACGUGCUGCUCGUUCAGCCAUGUGGCCGCAACACCCUGCAGAAACCUCCCAGAAACGUGUCCUCUGAACGCGGCCAUUUUUAACAAGCUGAGAGCUGCUGGAUGUACGAACACACACACACACACAAAACCGAAAACAAAAUACACACUCGAUAAGCUGAGCGAGGAGUUAUAAGUGCUACCAGGUUAUUAUCGGCCCCGGCGCUUCCUAUUUUCGUCUUUAAUCUUUGUAUUCUGAGUAAUCAUCAUUUUAAUUAAUGGCGACAGCGGCGUGAAAUCUUUCCUCACCACCUCCCCGCUCCCCCUUUAUCCUUCCCGCCGCCGCCAGAGACACCUGAAACCAAUUAGCAACAGCAGAUCUAGAUGGGGAUUAGACACAGGAAGAGCAGGAGAGAUUAGAUUCAAACACAAAGAGAGAAAAAGGAGAAGAAAAAAAGACGAGGGGUUAAAAAGGAUCCCGUCAGUCAUUCCGGGUAAUCGAUAUGAGGGAGGAGCAGAGGGCGGGGCAGCGGGGAGGAUAUGGCGCGAUCAGGGCGGCAGCAGACAGCAAAGAUAACAACUAGUUGUGAGUCAGCAGGUAGAGUUGAUUGCAGGAGCCCAGAGUCUUGACUGACAGGCGCUCCACCUACACAGGACUUAUUGUCAUUCGUUGCACUGUGCGGGCGAGUGAGGGAGGAAAGCACAUAGAGAGGGGGAAACAGAGCGAGAGGAGAGACUCUUGGCUAGUCGCCACGAUCAGGGCCAAUUAAGAGAAUUUGAUUAUAUGCCUUAAUCUUGGCAGUCGGGUGGAAAAGCAGACAGGAAGAGAAAGAGGAGGCAGAGCAGGUGCAACCGAUACACACCAUUAUCUCUGUCCGUCUGUAAUUGAGUCUGUUUCUGCCCCCAUCGUGUGUUUUAUUCAUCUCGUCCACAAACGAGAUCUGUCUUUCUGGAGAGGCGGCAGCAGCGGAGGCUUUUCGAGAGAAAAGGAAGGGGAGGAGAAACCCUUCUUCUGCUUCAAAUAUUCAUUUUUCACAUUAUUGUUUAGCGACAGCAAACACACUUUCGUUUGUGUUUCCCUUCCCCUCCGUCAAGGCCAAAGAGAGAUUUACUAAAUCUGGAGGACAUUUAUUUCCCUUCUCAUUCCUCUAUUUUACCCCUUUCCAUUCCUACUUCCAGAUUUGUCUUCUUCCUAAUGUCCUAUCUAGAGGUUUCCCCGCAGCCUCUACAAUCUCCAUAUCAAGCGUGAGAUAAAAGCGAAAAGAGACUCAUAGACGGAAAAAUAAAUAAAAAGAGAUAGCAAGGGACCGAAUCUGUAGAGGACAGAGCUUAGACUUUAUUUCCUCGGUCCCGGACACCCCGAGGCUCCCGCCAACAGUCCCCAAAGCUUCUCUUCCUCUUUUUAAAAUUCAUCUUCUCCCUGGAGCUUUUUUCCCAGCUCCCCUCCUUGUGGAUCGUAUACUCUGCGCCGCCAUCCGUCCGUCCAUCCUGGACUCCGCCAAGAUUAAUCUGGCUUCUGUCAUCCGAGGGAAUCUUUUGAUAUCGUCUGCUGGUGUCAUCAUCUUCAUUCUGAACUGAACUAACCAGAACAAGCCACACUUCUUCUGCACCCCCUCCCCUCCCGGUGCAUGUGUGGCUGCUCCGUCUUCUGCAUGCCUCUCAGAGACAAACACAAGACAUUCCUGUAAAGAAUAUUGACAUAACACUUUUCACAUAACACAUAACACAUUUCUCAUUUGCUGUAUACAGUAUGUAUGCAUGUAUAUAGGGACAUAUGUAUGUGUAAUAUCAUAAUAUCAUGCUGUAACAUGAUUGCCAUUUAA